Molecule: transfer RNA, 71 nt
Filed under: Actinomycetota bacterium
Lineage: Bacteria; Bacillati; Actinomycetota
Description: tRNA-Gln
Rfam family: tRNA
About the family: Transfer RNA (tRNA) molecules are approximately 80 nucleotides in length. Their secondary structure includes four short double-helical elements and three loops (D, anti-codon, and T loops). Further hydrogen bonds mediate the characteristic L-shaped molecular structure. tRNAs have two regions of fundamental functional importance: the anti-codon, which is responsible for specific mRNA codon recognition, and the 3' end, to which the tRNAs corresponding amino acid is attached (by aminoacyl-tRNA synthetases). tRNAs cope with the degeneracy of the genetic code in two manners: having more than one tRNA (with a specific anti-codon) for a particular amino acid; and 'wobble' base-pairing, i.e. permitting non-standard base-pairing at the 3rd anti-codon position.
Source: RNAcentral
UGCGGGGUCGUCUAAUGGCAAGACGCCAGUUUCUGGAGCUGGUUAUCAAGGUUCGAGUCCUUGCCCCGCAG